This 1352-nucleotide ribosomal RNA is filed under the name Diacronema sp. CCMP610. RNAcentral describes it as "eukaryotic LSU rRNA". It matches the Rfam family "Eukaryotic large subunit ribosomal RNA", at positions 73 to 1415 of the family's 3401-position model. Lineage: Eukaryota; Haptophyta; Pavlovophyceae; Pavlovales; Pavlovaceae. The record is from RNAcentral.
GAUUCCCCCAGUAACGGCGAGUGAAGAGGGAAGAGCUCAAGCUGCCAAUCUGGACUUUGUUGUACAAGUCCCGAAUUGUAGUCUGAAGGUGUUUUCUAUGAUAGCUCUGCGUCAAAGUCCCUUGGAAAGGGGCACCAGAGAGGGUGAGAGUCCCGUGCCUGGCGUGGAGUGAAUCUUUCUGAUCUCACCAGAGAGUCGGGUUGCUCGGGAUUGCAGCCUGAAUGGGAGGUAAAUUUCUCCUAAAGCUAAAUACUGGCGAGAGACCGAUAGCGAACAAGUACCGUGAGGGAAAGAUGCAAAGAACUUUGAAAAGAGAGUUAAAGAGUGCCUGAACUUGUUGGGGGGAAAGCGUUUGCGCCCAGUGUGCCGUCGUCGAUUCAGCCUUUUAGGGGUGCACUUUGGCGUCGGCGGCCAGGGUGGGUUGGGCGCGCGCGUGACGGCCCCCGUGAGGCCUUUUGGGCGACCGGGUGGCUUGUGCGUGCUCCUGACUGAGGCUCGCUCUGCGUGGGUGUCGUCUGCGCGGUGUAGUGUGUCACAAGCAACUUGUGUUCGCGCAUCGCAAAGGUUAAGCCCUCUGUGAGCGUGACCCUGGCGAAAUGGUCGCAACCGACCCGUCUAGAAACACGGACCAAGGAGUCUGACGAAUGCGCGAGUCUUUGGGUGGUAACCCCAUGGGCGGAAUGAAAGUGAGAGGUGUUCAGCACCGACCGACCGUGAUCUCCUGUGAAUGGUUUGAGUGUGAGCGUAUUCGCCGGGACCCGAAAGAUGGUGAACUAUGCCUGAGUAGGGUGAAGCCUGAAGAAAUUCAGGUGGAGGCUCGUAGCGAUACUGACGUGCAAAUCGUUCGUCGAACUUGGGUAUAGGGGCGAAAGACUAAUCGAACCAUCUAGUAGCUGGUUCCCUCCGAAGUUUCCCUCAGGAUAGCUGGAGCUCGUUCAGUUUUGUCAGGUAAAGCGAAUGAUUAGAGGCCUUGGGGCUGAAACAGCCUUAACCUAUUCUCAAACUUUAAAUGGGCAAGGCGGUGGGUGCUUGAUUGACCCGCCGCAUCGAAUGGGAGCUCCAAGUGGGCCAUUUUUGGUAAGCAGAACUGGCGAUGCGGGAUCAACCGAACGUCGAGUUAAGGUGCCCAAGUGUCCGCUCAUCAGACUCCCCAAAAGCUGUUGGUUCAUUUAGACAGCAGGACGGUGGCCAUGGAAGUCGGAAUCCGCUAAGGAGUGUGUAACAACUCACCUGCCGAAUGAACUAGCGCUGAAAAUGGAUGGCGCUCAAGCGGACCACCGAUACUCGACCACUGUCGCGAGCGCUUUGCGUCAGUGAGUAGGAGGGCGUGGAGCUCGUGAGGCAGCCGUUGG